ACCGGCGCACGGGUGCGUAACGCGUAUGCAACCUACCUUUCACAGGGGGAUAGCCCAGAGAAAUUUGGAUUAAUACCCCAUGGUAUUUUUGCCUGGCAUCAGGUGAUUAUUAAAGAUUUAUCGGUGAAAGAUGGGCAUGCGUCCCAUUAGCUAGUUGGUGUGGUAACGGCACACCAAGGCUUUGAUGGGUAGGGGUCCUGAGAGGGAGAUCCCCCACACUGGUACUGAGACACGGACCAGACUCCUACGGGAGGCAGCAGUGAGGAAUAUUGGUCAAUGGGCGCAAGCCUGAACCAGCCAUGCCGCGUGCAGGAUGAAGCAUCUAUGGUGUGUAAACUGCUUUUGUACGGGAAGAAACCCCGCCACGUGUGGCGGAUUGACGGUACCGUAAGAAUAAGGACCGGCUAACUCCGUGCCAGCAGCCGCGGUAAUACGGAGGGUCCGAGCGUUAUCCGGAAUCAUUGGGUUUAAAGGGUCCGUAGGCGGAUCUGUAAGUCAGUGGUGAAAUCUCACGGCUCAACCGUGAAAUUGCCAUUGAUACUGCAGAUCUUGAAUUAUUGGGAAGUAAUUAGAAUAUGUAGUGUAGCGGUGAAAUGCUUAGAGAUUACAUGGAAUACCGAUUGCGAAGGCAGGUUACUACCAAUACAUUGACGCUGAUGGACGAAAGCGUGGGGAGCGAACAGGAUUAGAUACCCUGGUAGUCCAC
Molecule: ribosomal RNA, 706 nt
Filed under: uncultured Flavobacterium sp.
Lineage: Bacteria; Pseudomonadati; Bacteroidota; Flavobacteriia; Flavobacteriales; Flavobacteriaceae
Description: bacterial SSU rRNA
Rfam family: Bacterial small subunit ribosomal RNA
Source: RNAcentral